RNAcentral lists this ribosomal RNA (426 nucleotides) under uncultured bacterium. Its description in RNAcentral is "partial 16S ribosomal RNA". It matches the Rfam family "Bacterial small subunit ribosomal RNA", at positions 355 to 792 of the family's 1533-position model. The record is from RNAcentral.
UGGGGAAUAUUGCACAAUGGGCGAAAGCCUGAUGCAGCGACGCCGCGUGCGGGAUGAAGGCCUUCGGGUUGUAAACCGCUUUUAAUUGGGAGCAAGCGAGAGUGAGUGUACCUUUUGAAUAAGCACCGGCUAACUACGUGCCAGCAGCCGCGGUAAUACGUAGGGUGCAAGCGUUAUCCGGAAUUAUUGGGCGUAAAGAGCUCGUAGGCGGUUUGUCACGCCUGGUGUGAAAGUCCAUCGCUUAACGGUGGAUCUGCGCCGGGUACGGGCAGGCUAGAGUGCAGUAGGGGAGAUUGGAAUUCCCGGUGUAACGGUGGAAUGUGUAGAUAUCGGGAAGAACACCAAUGGCGAAGGCAGAUCUCUGGGCUGUUACUGACGCUGAGGAGCGAAAGCAUGGGGAGCGAACAGGAUUAGAUACCCGUGGGU